Molecule: long non-coding RNA, 1186 nt
Organism: Bos taurus (domestic cattle)
Lineage: Eukaryota; Metazoa; Chordata; Mammalia; Artiodactyla; Bovidae
Source: Ensembl
AGACUCUCAUCCUAGGACUUCCCUGGUGGUCUAGUGAUUAAGACUCUGAGCUUCCACUGUAGGGGGCGUGGGUUCAAUCCCUGGUCGGGGAACUAAGAUCCCACGUGCCCCACAGUGUGACCAAAAAGCAAACAAACAAAAACCCCGAAAACAGGACUCUUGCCUCAUCUUGCCUACUAUCGCACACUGGUAUGUUACUUAUUACAUACUCAAAUUCGUUUGUUUAUUGUAUUUUUUUGUUUAUUGUAUUUGUUUAUUGUAUAUUCAUUGUACUCCAAUAUAUUUAAAAUAGAUAGCAUGGAUUUCUUACCUAUUUUGAUGAAAGCUUUGUCAUUUAUGCAAGUAAUAGCCAAGUGAUAGGAUCCCCAUAUUCCUAAUAAGACAGCCGUCCAUUUUGCUGGCACUGGGAACUCCUCAUGAGAAUAUGUCUUGUCUCCCCAAGUCAGGUUUAACUAUCCUGAAGGCCUGGAUCCCCUCUCUCGCACACACCUUCAUGUCCCCACAGCAUUUGUGAUAGACUUGGGCACAAACUGUUGACUGAUUUGGGAAGAGAAACUACGUUCAGAAGAGGCAGGGGGAAACCUAUGCCUGGAAGUGUGUGUGCGAAGCCAUCUGUGUGAAUACACAAGCAGACUUUGAGGCUGCCCUGAAGUAACUAGUAAGAAAUCUCUUGGUGAUGUCAGACUUUUCAUAGGACCAGUUCUCAUGAAGGAGCAUGUUAGAGAAAUGCUAGUGAAGGUCCAGCCACCGCUGUACUUCAGAUGCUGCUGAGACCUGGUAGACUGGUUCAUUCAUGACUGAAAAACGUAUAUAUCAUGGAUAUUGUAGGUUUUUCGGAUUGAAGGCAUUUUCUUAUAAGCUUCCCUGGUGUUAUUGCCUUAAAAAAUAGUAACUGAGUAACACUUCUUUCAUAGUUGUACUUUCAGAGAUUCCUCGUCACUCAAUCUUCAUGGCAGAAAUGCUUUCGUUAGGACCUGUAUUAGUCCCAGUAAGUCAGAUAUUAUCUUAAAUUAGAAUGCCCGAGGAGGAAAGAGGAAGUCCAAAUGUUUGUUCUCAUUUUAUCACCCCUGAGCUUUUGUGACUUGAUCUUACAUAUAACUUAUUUUGUUAUCCUCUGAAGUGGGAUUCUUCAGGAUUAAAGUUCCAAAGUUAGGGAACAUAUUUGAAAGUGAACAUACUCUAACAA